AACAAGGUUUCUGUAGGUGAACCUGCAGAAGGAUCAUUA
Molecule: ribosomal RNA, 39 nt
Filed under: Puccinia sorghi
Lineage: Eukaryota; Fungi; Basidiomycota; Pucciniomycetes; Pucciniales; Pucciniaceae
Description: partial 18S ribosomal RNA
Source: RNAcentral